RNAcentral lists this ribosomal RNA (526 nucleotides) under uncultured bacterium. RNAcentral's name for it is "bacterial SSU rRNA". It matches the Rfam family "Bacterial small subunit ribosomal RNA", at positions 11 to 524 of the family's 1533-position model. The record is from RNAcentral.
GUUUGAUCAUGGCUCAGGACGAACGCUGGCGGCGUGCCUAACACAUGCAAGUUGAGCGACGAACCAGGGCUUGCCCUGGGGCAAAGCAGCGAACGGGUGAGUAACACGUGGGUAACCUGCCCCGAUGACCGGGACAACCCGAGGAAACUCGGGCUAAUACCGGAUGUGCUCCACACACAUCAGCGUGUGGAGUAAAGGAAGCUUCGGCCUCCGCUUCGGGAGGGGCCCGCGGCCCAUUAGCUAGUUGGUGAGGUAACGGCUCACCAAGGCAACGAUGGGUAGCUGGUCUGAGAGGAUGAUCAGCCACAUUGGGACUGAGACACGGCCCAGACUCCUACGGGAGGCAGCAGUGGGGAAUAUUGCGCAAUGGGCGAAAGCCUGACGCAGCAACGCCGCGUGAGCGAUGAAGGUCUUCGGAUCGUAAAGCUCUUUCGGCCGGGACGAAAACCCAUUACUUCAUAAGUGGUGGCUUGACGGUACCGGAAGAAGAAGCACCGGCUAACUCUGUGCCAGCAGCCGCGGUAAU